GUGGGGCGCGGUGGCGUGUGCCUGUAGUCCGGGCUACUCGGGAGGCUGAGGUGGGAGGAUCGCUUGAGCCCAGGAGUUCUGGGCUAUAGUGCGCUAUGCCGAUUGGGUGUCUGCACUAAGUUCGGCAUCAAUAUGGUGAACUCCUGGGAGUGGGGGACCAUCAGGCUGCCUAAGGAGGGGUGAACCAGCCCAGGUUGGAAACAGAGCAGGUCAAAACUCCGGUGCUGAUCAGUAGUGGGAUCUCGCCUGUGAAUAGCCACUAGCACUCCAGCAGCCUGGGCCACAUAGCAAGACCCCGUCUCA
This 303-nucleotide signal recognition particle RNA is filed under the name Cebus imitator (Panamanian white-faced capuchin). Its description in RNAcentral is "Metazoan signal recognition particle RNA (ENSCCAG00000002843.1)". It matches the Rfam family "Metazoan signal recognition particle RNA". Rfam says of the family: The signal recognition particle (SRP) is a universally conserved ribonucleoprotein. It is involved in the co-translational targeting of proteins to membranes. The eukaryotic SRP consists of a 300-nucleotide 7S RNA and six proteins: SRPs 72, 68, 54, 19, 14, and 9. Lineage: Eukaryota; Metazoa; Chordata; Mammalia; Primates; Cebidae. The record is from RNAcentral.